This 460-nucleotide ribosomal RNA is filed under the name Streptococcus pneumoniae. RNAcentral describes it as "bacterial SSU rRNA". It matches the Rfam family "Bacterial small subunit ribosomal RNA", at positions 28 to 472 of the family's 1533-position model. Lineage: Bacteria; Bacillati; Bacillota; Bacilli; Lactobacillales; Streptococcaceae. The record is from RNAcentral.
GACGAACGCUGGCGGCGUGCCUAAUACAUGCAAGUAGAACGCUGAAGGAGGAGCUUGCUUCUCUGGAUGAGUUGCGAACGGGUGAGUAACGCGUAGGUAACCUGCCUGGUAGCGGGGGAUAACUAUUGGAAACGAUAGCUAAUACCGCAUAAGAGUGGAUGUUGCAUGACAUUUGCUUAAAUGGUGCACUUGCAUCACUACCAGAUGGACCUGCGUUGUAUUAGCUAGUUGGUGGGGUAACGGCUCACCAAGGCGACGAUACAUAGCCGACCUGAGAGGGUGAUCGGCCACACUGGGACUGAGACACGGCCCAGACUCCUACGGGAGGCAGCAGUAGGGAAUCUUCGGCAAUGGACGGAAGUCUGACCGAGCAACGCCGCGUGAGCGAAGAAGGUUUUCGGAUCGUAAAGCUCUGUUGUAAGAGAAGAACGAGUGUGAGAGUGGAAAGUUCACACUGUGA